Molecule: RNA transcript, 2013 nt
Organism: Quercus robur (English oak)
Lineage: Eukaryota; Viridiplantae; Streptophyta; Magnoliopsida; Fagales; Fagaceae
Exons: 4
Source: RefSeq, a predicted model, not a curated record
GGAUCACACACUCCCACACACAAACACAAUACACAAUACACACCGAACGAAAACCUCAAAAAAUCUCCUUCUCCUUCUCCUUCUCCUUCAAUGGCGUCCUCAGAAUCCGUAGACGAUAGCUUCCGAGCCCGAGUCGAAAAGGUGUUCGGAUCCCUCGCAUCCUCGAAAUCAUCGCCGUGGUCACUCACCGACGGCGAGGUCGAGCGACGAGAAUGGAGGCGAGAAAGUAACGACACACGCGAUCGCGACGACACGCCGUGCUCAUCGGCGUUCGACGAGUGCUUUAAGAAAGACCAAAGAGCUUCGCGAAGAAAGCUUCGUAGAGAGCUCGAUGACCAAAACGACGACGCGGAUGAACAGUCCGAUCGGUCGUUUAGAGGCGGAGAUGCUGAUAUAGACGAAUGGGAAAUCAGAUCUUCGAUCGGCUUGGACCCCACUCUCGACCGCGAGGAAGAGGAAGAUGAGUUUGAUAAAGUGGCUACAGGCAGAGAAAAUGCGGGUGAUCGUUUGUUUAUGGGAGAUGUUUCUGAUCAUGGGUCUUAUUUGAACUCUCACAAUGUGCUUACCAAUUCAUUACAUGGUACUAGUACUGCAAAGGAUCCACGUGCCAAUCACCUGGCUGCAAAAAUUAGGCUAAAAGAAGAUGAAGAUGAAGCUGAAGGUCAAAAGUACAAUUCUGGCGGUGCUCAUGACUCAGAAGUUAAGGGGCAGCAUGUAGAAACAUCUGAAGAUUGUAAGCAACUGAGGUCCAUAUUGAAGAGGAAGGACAAUAAUGCUGUUUUUAAGCCACAAAAACGUGUCAGGUUUGACCCUAGUGUUGGAAGUGUUUUUGAAGAAGAAGAAAAGACUAUGGCUGCCUCCUUGAUGGAGCCUACGGGUUCAGAUGAUGGAACUCUGGAAGGCCAAAAUGCUUCUAGGUUACCGGAUUAUUUACUAAAUCCUUCCAAGUAUACACGUUAUAGUUUUGAUUCAACGAGUGAAUUUGAUGAAGAAUCUAAUGCUCAAGCAUAUAUGGACUUCAUUAAUCUUGUAAAUAAAUCAAAGCCUCCAGAGUCAAGGUUAGAGCCAGCUGAUACUUCAGUUGAUCUGUCAAAGUCUGUGAUCUUUAUUCCAAAGAAAAAGACUAGUGAUGCCAAAGCAGUAAGUGAUAGUGGUGUGUUAAAUCAAAACAUGGAAGAAGAUCGUAAGCAGUUCUUGCAUCGAGCAGGCUUUCUUGUAGGAAUUGCGGCUGGGGAAGCCCAAAAUGAAGUUAGUGCAAUGGAGGAGGAUGAAUCACAAACAAGUGCAGCAGACAGAAGUGCUGGUUUUCAAAAAUCUGGUCGGAGGUAUCGUACAAAGUCAAGGUCAGAUGACGAUGAUUCUUGAUGUUCUCUGAAGUUUCAGACAGGCAGGCUUGAGCGAUGGUUCAUGAUAGAUUUCUGACAGAAAUCUCAUGAUAAUUCAAUAUUUGUGAGAGAAAGGGGGUGGGGGGGGUGGUUGAUCAUUGAACGUUUUUCUUGGAAACACCAGGAGCUCCUAAAUGUGCUAGAAGGUUAUUGGCAUGUUUACCUGGAAAAAAUUGAGCUCUGGUCUCAUGACUUACUUAACCCAACCAACCAAGUCUCUCUCACUCUCUCUUUCUCUCAUGCGUACAGGUACAGCUCUUCCCCUCUCUCUUGUCCAUGACAACUCUUCUCCUCUUUACCAUUAUUCAGUUUCUCUUCUCCACAAAUCAAUUGCUGAUAAGCACAAGUCCCCCUAAGGUCAAAUGAAGUGAUUGGUAGCUAGGAUGUUUCCCUACUUUUGGGCUUGCCUAAACAUACCACCCUUGUUUUCUGGGAAUUAUUUGACUUUAUGUUCGGUUUUCCAAAUAGAGGGAAAUAGAUUAAAACAUGUCGGUCUUGUUUUGCUAUUCAUUUCCAAGAUUAGCUCAUUAGUUAUUACAAGCAACGCAAAGAUGGUGUUGAAUUGGCUCUUGUUUAAUGGAAUUAAAGGACUAGCAAUAUUACGUAGUUCUUUGAAAAUUAAAACUCA